This 213-nucleotide ribosomal RNA is filed under the name Triticum aestivum (bread wheat). Its description in RNAcentral is "partial small subunit ribosomal RNA". The record is from RNAcentral. Lineage: Eukaryota; Viridiplantae; Streptophyta; Magnoliopsida; Poales; Poaceae.
GGAGGGGGGAAUUUCCGGACAGUUCGAGAGUUGACGACCUUGUGUCGGUCACAUUCCCCCAUGUUUGUGUUUUUGUGUGAAACGAGACAGAAGGAAGCGAAGAUGAAGAGGUUGAGAGGCAGGUUGGGUCUUAAGGGUUUUUGUGGUGUUGAUAGCUCUGGUAUGAGUGGUGGCCUAGCCGUGUACUGGCAUGAAAACUGUGUGGUAGAUGUU